UGUCAUUUUAGACCAAAUUACACCCUUUAAGACUCAGAAUGAGCUUAAAAUCAAGUAAAACCGAAUAAAUGAGUCAGUCGAGAGUCAAAAGCUGUUUUUAGCGAUAUUAUACUUGUUUUGCAUUGUUUUGAAGCUAUUUUGAUGAAAGUGAAGAUGGGGACUGAAGAUGAAGGUCGUAGACUCAAGACAGAAGAAGAAAAUUGAAGAAAAGAAUAGUCUAGGAAUCGCCCGGUGGCAAAAUUGCACCGCUGGACGGUCCAGAGCGAGGAGGAGGCACCUGGCGUGGACGCUGGGCGGAUUUACGAUUAGAGGCAAACCGUCGGGCGAUGGCCCCCUGUCGCCGGACGGUGGCGUGAUUAAGGGCAAACCGCCGGGCGACAUAAGUUUGCCUCGGGCGGUUGUCCGCUGGGCUUGGG
RNAcentral lists this long non-coding RNA (416 nucleotides) under Vigna radiata. RNAcentral describes it as "long non-coding RNA (VRAD_LNC000105)". Lineage: Eukaryota; Viridiplantae; Streptophyta; Magnoliopsida; Fabales; Fabaceae. The record is from RNAcentral.